RNAcentral lists this unclassified non-coding RNA (217 nucleotides) under plant metagenome. RNAcentral describes it as "partial contains small subunit ribosomal RNA, internal transcribed spacer 1, and 5.8S ribosomal RNA". The stretch from base 1 to 54 matches the Rfam family "Eukaryotic small subunit ribosomal RNA", at positions 1778 to 1831 of the family's 1831-position model. The record is from RNAcentral.
GGAAGUAGAAGUCGUAACAAGGUCUCCGUUGGUGAACCAGCGGAGGGAUCAUUACCGAGUUUACAACUCCCAAACCCCUGUGAACAUACCAUUUGUUGCCUCGGCGGUGCCUGCUUCGGCAGCCCGCCAGAGGACCCAAACCCUUGAUUUUAUACAGUAUCUUCUGAGUAAAUGAUUAAAUAAAUCAAAACUUUCAACAACGGAUCUCUUGGUUCUG